UUUGGAGGAACUUCCUGAAAAAUCUCAGUCAAGGAAAAGUAAACUUGAGGAAAGUUAUAAAAAUGAUACUGAGGGAGGUGGAGAAUGGUAUGUGGAGGCUAGUGAAGAAAAUAAAAGUAGGGAGGAGGAAGAAAGAAGAUAAACAAAAAUAUGAGGAAGUGGAAAGUAAGAAAGAUGAUGAUGAUCAACAUUAUUAUAAUGCAUCACCAAUCGGGCAUGAAUUAAUAUUGAAUUCCAAGCAUGAUCCUGUCAAAAGUAUUAGUAUUGACAGGUUUCAAGUUAAGAUACUGAUAGAUAACCCUACAGAACUAACUG
This 315-nucleotide long non-coding RNA is filed under the name Capsicum annuum. Its description in RNAcentral is "long non-coding RNA (CANN_LNC022206)". Lineage: Eukaryota; Viridiplantae; Streptophyta; Magnoliopsida; Solanales; Solanaceae. The record is from RNAcentral.